Molecule: ribosomal RNA, 110 nt
Filed under: Chaubardia surinamensis
Lineage: Eukaryota; Viridiplantae; Streptophyta; Magnoliopsida; Asparagales; Orchidaceae
Description: partial 18S ribosomal RNA
Rfam family: Eukaryotic small subunit ribosomal RNA
Source: RNAcentral
CGGGCGGUUCGCCGCCCGCGAUUCGGCGAGAAGUCCAUUGAACCUUAUCAUUUAGAGGAAGGAGAAGUCGUAACAAGGUUUCCGUAGGUGAACCUGCGGAAGGAUCAUUG